CCUACGGGUGGCUGCAGUGGGGAAUAUUGCACAAUGGGCGCAAGCCUGAUGCAGCCAUGCCGCGUGUGUGAAGAAGGCCUUCGGGUUGUAAAGCACUUUCAGCGGGGAGGAAGGCGGUGAGGUUAAUAACCUCAUUGAUUGACGUUACCCGCAGAAGAAGCACCGGCUAACUCCGUGCCAGCAGCCGCGGUAAUACGGAGGGUGCAAGCGUUAAUCGGAAUUACUGGGCGUAAAGCGCACGCAGGCGGUCUGUCAAGUCGGAUGUGAAAUCCCCGGGCUCAACCUGGGAACUGCAUUCGAAACUGGCAGGCUAGAGUCUUGUAGAGGGGGGUAGAAUUCCAGGUGUAGCGGUGAAAUGCGUAGAGAUCUGGAGGAAUACCGGUGGCGAAGGCGGCCCCCUGGACAAAGACUGACGCUCAGGUGCGAAAGCGUGGGGAGCAAACAGGAUUAGAUACCCUUGUAGUC
RNAcentral lists this ribosomal RNA (465 nucleotides) under uncultured Klebsiella sp. RNAcentral's name for it is "bacterial SSU rRNA". It matches the Rfam family "Bacterial small subunit ribosomal RNA", at positions 338 to 795 of the family's 1533-position model. The record is from RNAcentral. Lineage: Bacteria; Pseudomonadati; Pseudomonadota; Gammaproteobacteria; Enterobacterales; Enterobacteriaceae.